GGCCGACUAGCUCAGUUGGUUAGAGCGUCGUGCUAAUACAAUGUUAACGCGAAGGUCUUGGGUUCGAUCCCCACGUUGGCCA
This 82-nucleotide transfer RNA is filed under the name Armillaria borealis. It matches the Rfam family "tRNA". From Rfam's summary of the family: Transfer RNA (tRNA) molecules are approximately 80 nucleotides in length. Their secondary structure includes four short double-helical elements and three loops (D, anti-codon, and T loops). Lineage: Eukaryota; Fungi; Basidiomycota; Agaricomycetes; Agaricales; Physalacriaceae. The record is from Rfam by way of RNAcentral.